RNAcentral lists this ribosomal RNA (520 nucleotides) under uncultured Caryophanales bacterium. Its description in RNAcentral is "uncultured Bacillales bacterium partial 16S ribosomal RNA". Lineage: Bacteria; Bacillati; Bacillota; Bacilli; Caryophanales. The record is from RNAcentral.
CACGUAGUUAGCCGUGGCUUUCUAAUAAGGUACCGUCAAGGUACAGCCAGUUACUACUGUACUUGUUCUUCCCUUACAACAGAGUUUUACGAUCCGAAAACCUUCUUCACUCACGCGGCGUUGCUCCAUCAGGCUUUCACCCAUUGUGGAAGAUUCCCUACUGCUGCCUCCCGUAGGAGUCUGGGCCGUGUCUCAGUCCCAGUGUGGCCGAUCACCCUCUCAGGUCGGCUACGCAUCGUCGCCUUGGUGAGCCGUUACCUCACCAACUAGCUAAUGCGCCGCGGGCCCAUCCUGUAGCGAUAGCAGAACCAUCUUUCAACUUUCAAACAUGUGUCCAAAAGUAUCAUUCGGUAUUAGCACCGGUUUCCCGAAGUUACUCCCCAUCUACAAGGUAGGUUGCCCACGUGUUACUCCACCCGUCCGCCGCUAGCGUUACUCGGUGCAAGCACCAAAGUACACCGCUCGACUUGCAUGUAUUAGGCACGCCGCAGCGUUCGUCCUGACGCCAGGACGUCAAACC